This 492-nucleotide ribosomal RNA is filed under the name uncultured bacterium. RNAcentral describes it as "partial 16S ribosomal RNA". It matches the Rfam family "Bacterial small subunit ribosomal RNA", at positions 29 to 507 of the family's 1533-position model. The record is from RNAcentral.
AGUGAACGCCGGCGGUAGGCCUAACACAUGCAAGUCGAACGGCAGCACAGUAAGAGCUUGCUCUUACGGGUGGCGAGUGGCGGACGGGUGAGGAAUACAUCGGAAUCUACUUUUUCGUGGGGGAUAACGUAGGGAAACUUACGCUAAUACCGCAUACGACCUACGGGUGAAAGCAGGGGAUCUUCGGACCUUGCGCGAUUGAAUGAGCCGAUGUCGGAUUAGCUAGUUGGCGGGGUAAAGGCCCACCAAGGCGACGAUCCGUAGCUGUACUGAGAGGAUGAUCAGAGACAGUGGACCUGAGACAAGGGCCAAACACAAACGGGAGGCAGCAGUGGGGAAUAUUAGAGAAUGGGCGCAAGCAUGAUGCAGUAAUACCGCGUGAGUGAAGAAGGAAUUAGGGUUGUAAAGCCCUUUUAUUGGGAAAGAAAAAAAGCAGGUUAAUACCCCGCUGGUCUGACGGUACCCAAAGAAUAAGCACCGGCUAACUUCGUG